ACGCUCGACACCUAGGGAGCAGCAGUGGGGAAUAUUGCACAAUGGGGGAAACCCUGAUGCAGCGACGCCGCGUGAGCGAAGAAGUAUUUCGGUAUGUAAAGCUCUAUCAGCAGGAAAGAAGAAAGACGGUACCUGACUAAGAAGCCCCCGGCUAACUACGUGCCAGCAGCCGACGGUAAUCUGAGGCGGCGUGGACGAACGGCG
Molecule: ribosomal RNA, 204 nt
Filed under: uncultured bacterium
Lineage: Bacteria
Description: partial 16S ribosomal RNA
Rfam family: Bacterial small subunit ribosomal RNA
Source: RNAcentral